UCAAAAUAUCCCAAAUCAAAAUUAGGGUUUUACAUUUCUUCCCCAAAUCAAAAUCAGAUUCCAUAAUGGCAACAGAAACAUGCCGAGAUGAGGCCGAUUUAAAAAAAUAAGAUAAUAACGGUUCGCAGUUCGGAAGGUUUUGAACACACAAUUGAUAUGGCGUCUGCCAUGGAGGCGAAAAGUUUAGAAUUCUAUGCCGAGUUUCGACUUAAAAUAGAACACCCAAACCAUAUUCUCGGACAAGUUCUUUCCUUCUUAGAGAAAAUUAGAGAGAUUAAAGAAACCGGAAACGAUGAGGAAUUGAAAGAGUUUUAUUCUGAUUUUCUGAGUCAGAAUCAGAAGCAAGGCUGCCUUUAUGGUCUUCUUGAUGCUGCUUACGAUCUGCGUAUAAAAAGCCUCUGGGAACUGAUGAGUAAAGUUGUAGCUGACAUGGUUACUGGGAAGACUAAUAAAGAGAUUUCUAAAAUCUUCAAGCUGGAGAAUGAUAUAACUCCUGAAGAGAUGGGACACAGAAGAAAUGAAGUUUGGGAAUUUAAGUAAAUUAUGCCUCAAGAUGCAGUGGUACAAUUGAAGCUUGGAUUUUGAUUAUAUAAUGUAUGUCCCAAGUCGAAGUGACGAAGUAUUAUAUAUUGUGGAUAUCUGGUGGUUCAGAUGCUUGUUGUGGAUUAAUUUUCUAUCUAAAAAUGUAAAUACCAUAAUAGACUACAUUAGAUCUGAAAUUAAACAAAAGAGAAGACUAAAGGAUGAAAAGAUGAGGAAGAGAGGCCAAAAGGGUUGAAGUUUGGAAGAGGAGAUAAAUUAACCCCACCAACAUAGGCAAUUAUGGUUACGGAUGGGCAUGAGACUGGUACCAUCUCGUACCGGUACUGACCCCGAAAGUCACAAAAACACCGUACCGAUCCCGGUCCUAUUUGAAUUGGUACCGAACAAGAACGGAACUGGGAUAUUAGUACCAUUUCCCGUGAAGUCCUGAUUACGAAACUCAAGUCAUUGUAUUCGUUCCAAAAUCAGUGUAGCUUUUACUUUGUAAAGGGGCUUGAAGUUCCAACAACUUAGGCUGCUGUGGCAAGAAGAUAUCUCUAAAAACAAAACAGAUUGCUUAUCUCUGAUCUAAUGAGCUGAAACUACUCACUUGGUUUCCCUUUAACUUCAGGCUUGUGCUUCAUUGGAACCAAGUUAUCAGCCUCCAGUCACAUUUGUUGUGGUUCAAAAAUGUCAUCACACUCGAUUGUUUGCCAACAACCACAAAGAUCAUAAUUCUGUGGACAGUAGUGGAAAUAUACUGCCAGGCAUAGUGGUUGAUUCCAAGAUUUGCCAUCCUACGGAGGUUGAUUUUUAUUUGUGCAGCCAUGCUGGCAUUCAGGUAAUAUUGGUACAAGCCGUCCUGCCCAUUACCAUGUUUUAUUGGACGAGAACAACUUUUCGACUGGUGACCUGCAAUCACUCACAUAUAAUCUCUGCUAC
Molecule: RNA transcript, 1464 nt
Organism: Erigeron canadensis
Lineage: Eukaryota; Viridiplantae; Streptophyta; Magnoliopsida; Asterales; Asteraceae
Gene name: SKP1-like protein 1B
Exons: 6
Source: RefSeq, a predicted model, not a curated record